This is a non-coding RNA of Triticum aestivum (bread wheat), 115 nucleotides long. NCBI's taxonomy places the organism in Eukaryota, Viridiplantae, Streptophyta, Magnoliopsida, Poales, Poaceae. The record is from Rfam.
CUACUACUCCCUCCGUCCCAAAAUUCUUGUCUUAGAUUUGUCUAAAUACGGAUGUACUGUACAUCCGUAUUUAGACAAAUCUAAAACAAGAAUUUUGGGACGGAGGGAGUACUAC